GAACGAUGAAAGAGAAUCCGAUCUCUUCGGAGUGAAGAAUCUCUGGAUUAGUGGCGGACGGGUGAGUAACGCGUGAGCAAUCUGCCUUACACAAAGGGAUAGCCUCGGGAAACCGGGAUUAAUACCAUAUGAUAUCUAGCGACCGCAUGGUAGAUAGAUUAAAGAAUUUCGGUGUAAGAUGAGCUCGCGUCCCAUUAAUUAGUUGGUGAGGGUAACGGCCCACCAAGAUAGCGAUGGGUAGCCGAUCUAAGAGGAUGACCGGCCACAUUGGAACUGAGAAACGGUCCAAACUCCUACGGGAGGCAGCAGUGGGGAAUAUUGCACAAUGGGGGAAACCCUGAUGCAGCGACGCCGCGUGAGCGAUGAAGGCUUUCGAGUCGUAAAGCUCUGUCCUAUGGGAAGAUAAUGACGGUACCAUAGAAGAAAGCCCCGGCUAAUUACGUGCCAGCAGCCGCGGUAAUACGUAAGGGGCGAGCGUUGUCCGGAAUUAUUGGGCGUAAAGAGUGCGUAGGCGGCAAAUUAAGUCAGAUGUGAAAACUAAGGGCUCAACCCAUAGAUUGCAUCUGAAACUGAUAUGCUUGAGUCAAGGAGAGGAAAGUGGAAUUCCUAGUGUAGCGGUGGAAUGCGUAGAUAUUAGGAGGAAUACCGGUGGCGAAGGCGACUUUCUGGACUUGUACUGACGCUGAGGCACGAAAGCGUGGGGAGCAAACAGGAUUAGAUACCCUGGUAGUCCACGCCGUAAACGAUGAGUGCUAGGUGUC
RNAcentral lists this ribosomal RNA (761 nucleotides) under uncultured Thermoanaerobacterales bacterium. RNAcentral's name for it is "bacterial SSU rRNA". It matches the Rfam family "Bacterial small subunit ribosomal RNA", at positions 57 to 824 of the family's 1533-position model. Lineage: Bacteria; Bacillati; Bacillota; Clostridia; Thermoanaerobacterales. The record is from RNAcentral.